AGACCCGAAACCCGGUGAUCUAGCCAUGGGCAGGUUGAAGGUUGGGUAACACUAACUGGAGGACCGAACCGACUAAUGUUGAAAAAUUAGCGGAUGACCUGUGGCUGGGGGUGAAAGGCCAAUCAAACCGGGAGAUAGCUGGUUCUCCCCGAAAGCUAUUUAGGUAGCGCCUCGUGAAUUCAUCUCCGGGGGUAGAGCACUGUUUCGGCUAGGGGGCCAUCCCGGCUUACCAACCCGAUGCAAACUGCGAAUACCGGAGAAUGUUAUCACGGGAGACACACGGCGGGUGCUAACGUCCGUCGUGAAGAGGGAAACAACCCAGACCGCCAGCUAAGGUCCCAAAGUCAUGGUUAAGUGGGAAACGAUGUGGGAAGGCCCAGACAGCCAGGAUGUUGGCUUAGAAGCAGCCAUCAUUUAAAGAAAGCGUAAUAGCUCACUGGUCGAGUCGGCCUGCGCGGAAGAUGUAACGGGGCUAAACCAUGCACCGAAGCUGCGGCAGCGAACGUAUCACUUAAAGCGAUUCAGCGGGUUACGAUUGACGGAGCGAAGCGACGUCAAAGCGUAUACAAAGUCGAGUCGGUUUAAGGAUACGUUCGUUGGGUAGGGGAGCGUUCUGUAAGCCUGUGAAGGUGGCCUGUGAGGGUUGCUGGAGGUAUCAGAAGUGCGAAUGCUGACAUAAGUAACGAUAAAGCGGGUGAAAAGCCCGCUCGCCGGAAGACCAAGGGUUC
RNAcentral lists this ribosomal RNA (728 nucleotides) under Salmonella enterica subsp. enterica serovar Derby. RNAcentral describes it as "partial 23S ribosomal RNA". It matches the Rfam family "Bacterial large subunit ribosomal RNA", at positions 711 to 1354 of the family's 2925-position model. Lineage: Bacteria; Pseudomonadati; Pseudomonadota; Gammaproteobacteria; Enterobacterales; Enterobacteriaceae. The record is from RNAcentral.